This 253-nucleotide ribosomal RNA is filed under the name uncultured bacterium. Its description in RNAcentral is "partial 16S ribosomal RNA". It matches the Rfam family "Bacterial small subunit ribosomal RNA", at positions 524 to 776 of the family's 1533-position model. The record is from RNAcentral.
UACAGAGGUGCCGAGCGUUAGGCGGAAUCACUGGGCUUAAAGCGUGUGUAGGCGGAUGCCUAAGUACCUUGUGAAAUCCCACAGCUCAACUGUGGAACUGCUUGGUAUACUGGGUGUCUUGAGCCACUUAGGGGUUACCGGAACAAAUGGUGGAGCGGUGAAAUGCGUAGAUAUCGUCAGGAAUGCCGGUGGUGAAGACGGGUGACUGGGCUGGUUCUGACACUGAGGCACGAAAGCGUGGGGAGCGAACGGG